AUGGCUGUCGUCAGCUCGUGUCGUGAGAUGUUGGGUUAAGUCCCGCAACGAGCGCAACCCUUAUUUCAUGUUGCCAGCGCGUAAUGGCGGGGACUCGUGAGAGACUGCCGGGGUCAACUCGGAGGAAGGUGGGGAUGACGUCAAGUCAUCAUGCCCCUUAUGUCCAGGGCUUCACACAUGCUACAAUGGCCGGUACAAAGGGCUGCGAUGCCGCGAGGUUAAGCGAAUCCUUUAAAGCCGGUCUCAGUUCGGAUCGGGGUCUGCAACUCGACCCCGUGAAGUCGGAGUCGCUAGUAAUCGCAGAUCAGCAACGCUGCGGUGAAUACGUUCCCGGGCCUUGUACACACCGCCCGUCACGUCAUGAAAGUCGGUAACACCCGAAGCCGGUGGCCUAACCCCUCGUGGGAGGGAGCCGUCGAAGGUGGGAUCGGCGAUUGGGACGAAGUCGUAACAAGGUAGCCGUACCGGAAGGUGCGGCUGGAUCACCUCCUUUCUAAGGAGCACCACGAGACCCUGGCCGGCCCGCAUGUUGCGGGGGUUCCGGAUUCUGGGGCGAUUCGUUGAAUGGCUUCUCGCCUGUAGUGGGUGGGGGGUCUGGUGCGCAAGUCGAACUCAAAAACUUCAGCUUCUGGUGUCGUGGCCUUUCGGGGUCGUGGUGGUCGGGGGGUGGGGGUCUGCCAAGCACGCUGUUGGGCUUUGAGGCAACAGGCCCGCUCGUUCUUCGUCCCCGUGGUGGGAAACCGGAAUGGGUGUGUCAUCUUCGCGUGGCGGGGGUGAUGGUGAGUUUGUUUCCGCUCCACUUGGUGGUGGGGUGUGGUGUUUGAUUCGUGGAUAGUGGUUGCGAGCAUCAAGCUGGCAUGGGUUGGGUCGCGGUGCGUUCCUUUUCGGAGGAGGGUUUUCCGGGGCUCGUCUGGUGUCGGUUUGUUGUGGUGUAAUUUUGUGUUUCUCAAAGAAAUAUCUGUUUUGGUUUUUUGUGUUGUAAGUGUUUAAGGGCGCAUGGUGGAUGCCUUGGCAUCAGAGGCCGAUGAAGGACGUGGGAGGCUGCGUUAUGCCUCGGGGAGCUGUCAACCGAGCGUUGAUCCGAGGAUGUCCGAAUGGGGAAACCCGG
Molecule: small RNA, 1108 nt
Filed under: uncultured Mycobacterium sp.
Lineage: Bacteria; Bacillati; Actinomycetota; Actinomycetes; Mycobacteriales; Mycobacteriaceae
Description: bacterial SSU rRNA
Rfam family: Bacterial small subunit ribosomal RNA (bases 1-493)
Source: RNAcentral